RNAcentral lists this ribosomal RNA (537 nucleotides) under uncultured bacterium. Its description in RNAcentral is "bacterial SSU rRNA". It matches the Rfam family "Bacterial small subunit ribosomal RNA", at positions 41 to 571 of the family's 1533-position model. The record is from RNAcentral.
GGCGUGCCUAACACAUGCAAGUCGAGCGGUAACAGGUGUAGCAAUACAUGCUGACGAGCGGCGAACGGGUGAGUAAUGCUUCGGAAUCUGCCCAAUGGUGGGGAAUAACCAGCCGAAAGGUUGGCUAAUACCGCAUAAGCCCUACGGGGGAAAGCAGGGGAUCGCAAGACCUUGCGCCGAUGGAUGAGCCGAAGUCGGAUUAGCUAGUUGGUAGGGUAACGGCCUACCAAGGCGACGAUCCGUAGCUGGUCUGAGAGGACGACCAGCCACACUGGGACUGAGACACGGCCCAGACUCCUACGGGAGGCAGCAGUGGGGAAUAUUGGACAAUGGGGGAAACCCUGAUCCAGCGACGCCGCGUGUGUGAAGAAGGCCUGCGGGUUGUAAAGCACUUUUAGUGGGGAUGAAAAGCUCAGGGCUAACACCUCUGGGUCUUGACCUAACCCACAGAAAAAGCACCGGCUAACUCUGUGCCAGCAGCCGCGGUAAUACAGAGGGUGCGAGCGUNAAUCGGAAUUACUGGGCGUAAAGCGUGCG